GAAGAAAACUUCAACCCCAUUUGAGCCUCUCUGUGUGUGCAUGCGAGUCCAGAAGAGAUGCCAACUCCAUUCGGUAUACCCCAAAGUUUUCUGGCCACCCAGAGCCUACGCCAGAUCUGGAAGAAUGCCAGAUGGCGACGGAAUCGCAAUACCGUAUUGUAAGAUGGCCAAGGAUACCUUUCUCGGUCUCCAUAAAUUGGACACAAUGGACCUGAGUAGGUUUUGCUGCUUGAAUUUCCUCCAAGCAGCAUGGGGUGAAGAGUCUAGUGCUAGUUAUUUGGGACCAAUGGAAAGCCCCUAAAUACCAAAUUUCAGAAAAGCAGGAAAUGGAAGAGCUUCUAGUUCAAGUCAUGUUGUUACUACACUUGCUAUAUAGAUAGAAGAUGUGGUCUUUAUUUAGGCCAUAAAAUAAAGCAAUUAAGGAUCAAAUUAUUGGUUGUGUC
RNAcentral lists this long non-coding RNA (443 nucleotides) under Monodelphis domestica (gray short-tailed opossum). RNAcentral describes it as "lncRNA (ENSMODG00000030245.2)". Lineage: Eukaryota; Metazoa; Chordata; Mammalia; Didelphimorphia; Didelphidae. The record is from RNAcentral.